UGGGGAAUAUUGGACAAUGGGCGAAAGCCUGAUCCAGCCAUGCCGCGUGUGUGAAGAAGGCCUUUUGGUUGUAAAGCACUUUAAGUGGGGAGGAAAAGCUUAUGGUUAAUACCCAUAAGCCCUGACGUUACCCACAGAAUAAGCACCGGCUAACUCUGUGCCAGCAGCCGCGGUAAUACAGAGGGUGCAAGCGUUAAUCGGAAUUACUGGGCGUAAAGCGCGCGUAGGUGGUUAUUUAAGUCAGAUGUGAAAGCCCCGGGCUUAACCUGGGAACUGCAUCUGAUACUGGAUAACUAGAGUAGGUGAGAGGGGAGUAGAAUUCCAGGUGUAGCGGUGAAAUGCGUAGAGAUCUGGAGGAAUACCGAUGGCGAAGGCAGCUCCCUGGCAUCAUACUGACACUGAGGUGCGAAAGCGUGGGUAGCAAACAGGAUUAGAUACCCUGGUAGUCCACGCCGUAAACGAUGUCUACCAGUCGUUGGGUCUUUUAAAGACUUAGUGACGCAGUUAACGCAAUAAGUAGACCGCCUGGGGAGUACGGCCGCAAGAUUA
This 549-nucleotide ribosomal RNA is filed under the name uncultured bacterium. Its description in RNAcentral is "bacterial SSU rRNA". It matches the Rfam family "Bacterial small subunit ribosomal RNA", at positions 355 to 896 of the family's 1533-position model. The record is from RNAcentral.